GAUGAAGAACGCAGCGAAAUGCGAUAAGUAAUGUGAAUUGCAGAAUUCAGUGAAUCAUCGAAUCUUUGAACGCACAUUGCGCCCCUUGGUAUUCCGAGGGGCAUGCCUGUUCGAGCGUCAUUAUAACCCCUCAAGCUCAGCUUGGUGUUGGGGCCUGCUGCACUGGCAGCCCUUAAAAUCAGUGGCGGCGCCAUCUGGCUCUAAGCGUAGUAAUUCUUCUCGCUAUGGAGUCCUGGUGGAUGCUUGCCAUCAACCCCCAAUUUUUCUAUGGUUGACCUCGGAUCAGGUAGGGAUACCCGCUGAACUUAAGCAUAUCAAUAAGAGGAGGA
This 329-nucleotide unclassified non-coding RNA is filed under the name soil metagenome. Its description in RNAcentral is "partial contains 5.8S ribosomal RNA, internal transcribed spacer 2, and large subunit ribosomal RNA". The stretch from base 1 to 120 matches the Rfam family "5.8S ribosomal RNA", at positions 35 to 154 of the family's 154-position model. The record is from RNAcentral.